This 344-nucleotide long non-coding RNA is filed under the name Physcomitrium patens. RNAcentral describes it as "long non-coding RNA (PPAT_LNC014783)". The record is from RNAcentral. Lineage: Eukaryota; Viridiplantae; Streptophyta; Bryopsida; Funariales; Funariaceae.
CCUUUUUGCCCCAGCCGGUAAGUCUCUAGACAUUACAGAGAACCCCGAACAAUCCAAUCUGCUAAACUCUGAUACCGCUUUAUACUCACGACCUUGUAUCCACUGAUUGUCUUAUUAGAUUAAUCCAAAAAAUUUCAUUCACUCCGCAUACUCAAUCCUAUAGACAUCCUUUUAAUUCUUCAAUCACAGAUGUAACUUUGAUUUCACAAAACAGUCAAGAGUAAUCACACCCACUUCAUUAAAACCCCGAUUCACCAGUACAACACAUCGACUAUUCAGCAUUGAUCGUUAGAAGUCCCUUUUUUUGAUCCUUUUCCAAAAACCUUGUAUCCUCCUUUUUUCUU